GACGAACGCUGGCGGCGUGGAUUAGGCAUGCAAGUCGAACGGUAGUAUCCUUUCGGGGAUAUGAGAGUGGCGAACGGGUGAGUAACACGUAGGUAAUCUACCCUCAAAUCGGGGACAACCCAGGGAAACUUGGGCUAAUACCGGAUGAGUGCAGCACCUUGAUUUUCCGGUGGGCGGUGAAUGGUUAAAUCUAUUUACCGGACAUUGGGAAAUGAAGGUGCUGUAUAAAAGAUGGCGUAAGCUGUCGUUUGAGGAUGAGCCUGCGCUCUAUUAGUUAGUUGGUGGGGUAAUGGCCUACCAAGGCGAUGAUAGAUAGGCGGCCUUAACGGGUGGCCGCCCACACUGGGAUUGAGAUACGGCCCAGACUCCUACGGGAGGCAGCAGUCGAGAAUAGUCUACAAUGGACGAAAGUCUGAUAGUGCGACGCCGCGUGAACGAAGAAGCCCUUCGGGUGUAAAGUUCUUUAUAUGUGAGCAGUGCUUUCUAUGUGAACAGCAUGGGGAGAGAGA
Molecule: ribosomal RNA, 509 nt
Filed under: uncultured bacterium
Lineage: Bacteria
Description: bacterial SSU rRNA
Rfam family: Bacterial small subunit ribosomal RNA
Source: RNAcentral